This 90-nucleotide transfer RNA is filed under the name Candidatus Saccharimonadota bacterium. RNAcentral's name for it is "tRNA-Ser". It matches the Rfam family "tRNA". Rfam says of the family: Transfer RNA (tRNA) molecules are approximately 80 nucleotides in length. Their secondary structure includes four short double-helical elements and three loops (D, anti-codon, and T loops). The record is from RNAcentral. Lineage: Bacteria; Candidatus Saccharimonadota. RNAcentral also lists the same sequence under 1 other name.
GGAAGUGUGUCCGAGUGGUUGAAGGAGCACGCCUGGAACGCGUGUAUGCGGGAAACCGUAUCGGAGGUUCGAAUCCUCUCGCUUCCGCCA